AUUGAACGCUGGCGGCAUGCUUUACACAUGCAAGUCGAACGGCAGCACGGGUGCUUGCACUUGGUGGCGAGUGGCGGACGGGUGAGUAAUGCAUCGGAACGUGUCCUAAAGUGGGGGAUAACGCAUCGAAAGAUGUGCUAAUACCGCAUAUACUCUGAGGAGUAAAGUAGGGGAUCGAAAGACCUUAUGCUUUUGGAGCGGCCGAUGUCUGAUUAGCUAGUUGGUGGGGUAAUUGCCUACCAAGGCGACGAUCAGUAGUUGGUCUGAGAGGACGACCAGCCACACUGGGACUGAGACACGGCCCAGACUCCUACGGGAGGCAGCAGUGGGGAAUUUUGGACAAUGGGCGCAAGCCUGAUCCAGCAAUGCCGCGUGAGUGAAGAAGGCCUUCGGGUUGUAAAGCUCUUUCAGUUGAGAAGAAAAAAUUGUAACUAAUAAUUACAGUUCAUGACGGUAUCAAC
Molecule: ribosomal RNA, 461 nt
Filed under: uncultured bacterium
Lineage: Bacteria
Description: bacterial SSU rRNA
Rfam family: Bacterial small subunit ribosomal RNA
Source: RNAcentral